RNAcentral lists this ribosomal RNA (374 nucleotides) under bacterium enrichment culture DGGE gel band MC17. Its description in RNAcentral is "bacterial SSU rRNA". It matches the Rfam family "Bacterial small subunit ribosomal RNA", at positions 959 to 1333 of the family's 1533-position model. The record is from RNAcentral.
ACGCGAAGAACCUUACCUGGUCUUGACAUCCACAGAACUUUCCAGAGAUGGAUUGGUGCCUUCGGGAACUGUGAGACAGGUGCUGCAUGGCUGUCGUCAGCUCGUGUUGUGAAAUGUUGGGUUAAGUCCCGCAACGAGCGCAACCCUUAUCCUUUGUUGCCAGCGGUCCGGCCGGGAACUCAAAGGAGACUGCCAGUGAUAAACUGGAGGAAGGUGGGGAUGACGUCAAGUCAUCAUGGCCCUUACGACCAGGGCUACACACGUGCUACAAUGGCGCAUACAAAGAGAAGCGACCUCGCGAGAGCAAGCGGACCUCAUAAAGUGCGUCGUAGUCCGGAUUGGAGUCUGCAACUCGACUCCAUGAAGUCGGAAUC